CCCAGACCCCCAAAUCUCCAAUUUCUCACAAGUGAAUUUAGGCAAACUAAAGAAGACAUCUCUGUUCCGUUCAAUACUUCUUCAAGAUCUUGGAUAAUUAGUGGUGUGGAAAGUAAAGAAGUCACAGGUUGGGACAUUUAGACAAGAGUGAAUCACACACGAGGAAUGUGUUCAUUCUUUUAUUGUCCGUUGUUUUAACCUGACUGAAUACAAGAUCAACAAGAGCACUGUACUCCUGGCAAUUAUUACAUAUGUUAGAACAUGGAUUUUGCACUGUAGACAACAUUUAACACCAGUCUAUGGGGUACUGCAUUGCUUUUUAUAAAGUUCAAAAUAAAGAUUUAUUUUCAAACAA
Molecule: long non-coding RNA, 355 nt
Filed under: Homo sapiens (human)
Lineage: Eukaryota; Metazoa; Chordata; Mammalia; Primates; Hominidae
Description: non-protein coding lnc-NME7-2:4
Source: RNAcentral